Molecule: non-coding RNA, 148 nt
Filed under: Homo sapiens (human)
Lineage: Eukaryota; Metazoa; Chordata; Mammalia; Primates; Hominidae
Source: Rfam by way of RNAcentral
GCUGGGCGUGGUGGUGUGCGCCUGUAAUCCCAGCUACUUGGGAGGCUGAGACAGGAGACUCACUUGAACCUGGGAGGCGGAGGUUGCAGUGAGCCGAGACUGCGCCAUUGCACUCCAGCCUGGGUAACAGACUGAGAUUCUGUCUCAA